RNAcentral lists this long non-coding RNA (1950 nucleotides) under Daphnia pulex (common water flea). RNAcentral describes it as "uncharacterized LOC124202523, transcript variant X2". The record is from RNAcentral. Lineage: Eukaryota; Metazoa; Arthropoda; Branchiopoda; Diplostraca; Daphniidae.
UCAUUGCGUAAAACGUGUCAUGCAGUGGUGUAGAACGGGACGUUUUGCAUCAUUAUCAAGAAGGUAGAAUAGCCGCAAGGCUUGAGAGGUGAGGGUGAGAAAAAAUCGUACAAAAGGAUAGAGAAUAGGCGAAAGCAAGCAGUCGAGUAAGCAUCUCCUACACGGCAACAACUGCAGUGCACUAGUCGUAUGUCGUCACCCAACUGCCUUCUUCAUCGUAUAACCAAUUCGUAAUUAUGGUCGCAUAAAAGAAGAGAAGAGGCGAUAGAAAUAGGUUGAGUGGUUAUCUCCCACGUGUCAACAGCAACUGCAGUGCACUAUUUGUCACCAACUGCAUUUUUCAUCGUACCACCAGUUUGCAAUCAUGGACUAUGGAGCUUGCUGCUUGCUGCUGUUGUUGGGUUUCGUAUCGUUGAUGGCUGGGUCGAUCACUGGUAUACCGAUGUCUCCUGGGUAUGGCGAAUACUAAAGCACAACGCCGCGGUCUUACUACACAACAACAACAUACGCAACGACCAGUUAUACACCGAUGCCCCCAAGUUCUACACCACCAAGGCUCCAGAUUAUUACUCCAAAUUUUGUGCUGUCCCGAACUACUACACCGUCUUCCCCGAGCUACAAUACUGAAGAGUUUGAAUACUACACCGUGGCUCCCAAGUACUACACCAUCAAGAAUCGGUAGUACUGCACAACUAAAUAUGCUGCGAAACUUUAUUACACCGAGGCUCCUGAGUACUACUCUGCUCCCAGCAAGCAUACCGAGGAUCCAGCUUAUACACCACAAAAACGGUCGAAUACUACACAGAAGCAAUCAUGAUCUUAUAGAAGGAGAGAAAAGGCGAUAGAAAUCAGUCGAAUGGUCAUCUCAGACACGGCAACAGCAACUGCAGUGCACUAUUUGUCACCAACUGCGUUCUUCGUCGCACCACCAGUUCUGCGAUCAUGGUUAGUUAAUUACUGCGUCUUGCUGCUUUGGGCGUUUUAUCGUUGAUGGCUGGGUCGACCACGUGUGUGCCAAUGUCUCCUAUGUAUGGCGGGCAGGAAGCUGUAACGCUGCCGUCUUACUAUCUCAAAUGUCCGACAAUCCAUCCACAUCCACCCUUGAUUCCUUUUCGUACAGUCAAACGUGGAGGAAUCUUGGCUCCGUCAGUAGGUGGCUAAAAUCAAGUUGUCCCCCAGCCGCCAGAUGACGUGAGUGUCUUUGAGAGGACGACAUUUUCGCCAUUUUGUUCCGAAACGCCAAGUGAAAAGGUAUUCCAAAUUCGUUACGGAAUUCCGGUGUCAAUCUACAUUUUCAGCAUUGAAAUUGAAUGGCAAUCUGGCAUAUAAUUUCCACUAGGCCAAAUAAUCGAUCACGUGGAAUGAAACUGCUUUCCAUUUUGCCGAAAUGUCGUCCGUUGUUAGCUGUACCUGUUCGGAUGUACGUCUCAUCUCACGUAGAAACACUACAGAGUUGGUGUUCAGGUUGGAGAUCCUGUUGCUUAAUAACUGUUGCAGAAUGUGAGAACUCAACAAAGUCUGAGCUCCAUGGCGCAUCAUUACAGUGGUUUUGUUGCAGCCGACUGGUGAAAGGUGUGAUCAAGUCAAGUUGAGCUGCAGCUGCUGCAUGCAGUUUAUCGAGCUGUUGUUACCCUGAAGUGUUAUUGCAGGAAGACUUUUUGAAAUGGACUUUGGUGAUACUUAAACUAUGCCUGUGCUGUUCAAUGUGCAGUGGUUUUGCAGCCUAUUUCCAGUUGAGAGAUGUGAUUAUGCAGCUGAUACACGAUUGAAGAAAAAGAACUGAAGUAGCUGUGCUGGUGUUCUCCUGAAAUUGCUGUGCCACAGGAGUUGCAAAUAGUGUUUGGUUCCUCAUAGAAGUUUAUUUAAAGAGUCUGGAGAUGAUCAGCCACUUCUGCCUUUAACUUAUGUAAAACUUCAAAGUUGUAAGAAAUAUACAAGUCAAGUUCUAAA